Molecule: long non-coding RNA, 1239 nt
Organism: Macrosteles quadrilineatus (aster leafhopper)
Lineage: Eukaryota; Metazoa; Arthropoda; Insecta; Hemiptera; Cicadellidae
Exons: 4
Source: RefSeq, a predicted model, not a curated record
GUCGCAAAUGAUCGACACCACAAAUUGUCGACAUCCCAUAUUGUCGACAAUGAAAUAGUUUCAUUUUGUCGACACUGAAAUAGUCCCAGUAUAUCGACAAGCACCCGUUCUUCGGAGCUACUCUUGAAAAGGAGUUGUUCUAAUUCAUCGUUCAGUUCCUCAACUCACGAGUCGCAAUAUUUGAUUCCGAAUUCCGACGGACAUCUUCAAGCUGGCCAUUUAUUGACUAAAAACUUUUAUAUUGUAAAUAUUUAUCUUUUUGAUUUCUUUCCUUGUUUAAAAGAAAAUAGACGACUCGAGUGUUACAAACAAUAGUUUUUAAUGAAUAAUGUGAAAUAAUUUUUAUAGGAUAAAAAACUUAAAAACAUUACUAGACACUAACUUCACCAACAAGAAGGUAAGAGACGAUCCUGGAGCAAAGGCUGUAAUUUGACCUGAGCCCAAAUUGGUCUCUAGUUUAAAUACCGUUUUGUCUUGUACCAAUAAGUUAAGAGGACUAACCUUUCUGGACGACAUUGCCAUCGACAUCACUGAAGAUGAGAGAUAUAGAGAGACCAGAGUUGUGUACCCUGGAGGCUAUUACCAUACUGCCGUGAUAACUAAGUUAUUCAAAGUUCAAAUCGGUACUUUGAGCUGUAGCCUACCAGUAGAAUGGGGGCGUUGUAAUUAAUAUCCUCCGACAUUGGAGGAUACAGGGGAGAGUUGCCAGAGGAAGAGGAGAUGGAGGAUGGGGCGAAGUAAAGACGAAGAUUGAAGAGAACUAACUUAUGGCCUGAUGACAGGGUGGAUGGCGAUGGAGGCAUGGAGGUUGGGGGAGAGGAGGUUGAAGAAGUGGAGACAAAUCAGUUUAGAUUCAUUAUGUUGAUUAGUUUAAUAUUUAUUUUGUACAUCAGUAUAGGCCUACUUUUAUUUACAUUUUUUUCUCAUUUAGAUUAUUAAAUUCAGAUAAUUUUAUUGUUUUUAUGAAAAUGUUUUCUUAAAUUUUUAAUAUUUGUUUGUACUUCUGCCUGUUAAAAAAUACUGUUUAUUAAGUUUGUUAAAAUGAUUACUUUCACUAACUGAUCUUGUAUUGGGUAAAAAGAGACAUCUUGAUAUUUAACUAGCAGGGUGCCUGUUCUAUGGGCGGGGAUCAUAUAAGUCAGUUGAAACCUUCUUAUAUUUUGAUACUUAGUAAAUUAAUCAUUUACAACUUUAUAUAGUAUAGAUCGCUAUUCCUGUAUUGAUGUACUGAAAUGAAUA